CCUACGGGAGGCAGCAGUGAGGAAUAUUGGUCAAUGGGCGGGAGCCUGAACCAGCCAAGUCGCGUGAAGGAAGAAGGUACUGAGUAUUGUAAACCUCUUUUGUCAGGGGAUAAAGGCGGCCACGGGUGCCCUUUUGUGUGUACUUUGUGAAAAAGCAUCGGCUAACUCCGUGCCAGCAGCCGCGGUAAUACGGAGGAUCCGAGCGUUAUCCGGAUUUAUUGGGUUUAAAGGGUGGGAAGGCGGGUUGUAAAGUCGGCGGUAAAAUGUUGGGGCUCAACCCUGACCUGCAGUUGAAACUGGCAGUCUUGAGUAGAGGUGAGGUAGGCGGAAUUCGUGGUGUAGCGGUGAAAUGCUUAGAUAUCACGAAGAACCCCGAUUGCGAAGGCAGCUUACCA
Molecule: ribosomal RNA, 395 nt
Filed under: uncultured bacterium
Lineage: Bacteria
Description: partial 16S ribosomal RNA
Rfam family: Bacterial small subunit ribosomal RNA
Source: RNAcentral